CAACAGGGAUUGCCCCAGUAACGGCGAGUGAAGCGGCAACAGCUCAAAUUUGAAAUCUGGCUCUCGGGCCCGAGUUGUAAUUUGUAGAGGAUGCUUUUGGUGAGGUGCCUUCCGAGUUCCCUGGAACGGGACGCCAUAGAGGGUGAGAGCCCCGUCUGGUUGGACGCCGAACCUCUGUAAAGCUCCUUCGACGAGUCGAGUAGUUUGGGAAUGCUGCUCUAAAUGGGAGGUAUAUGUCUUCUAAAGCUAAAUACCGGCCAGAGACCGAUAGCGCACAAGUAGAGUGAUCGAAAGAUGAAAAGAACUUUGAAAAGAGAGUUAAACAGUACGUGAAAUUGUUGAAAGGGAAGCGCUUGUGACCAGACUUGGGCUUGGUUGAUCAUCCGGGGUUCUCCCCGGUGCACUCUUCCGGCUCAGGCCAGCAUCAGUUCGCCCUGGGGGAUAAAGGCAUCGGGAACGUGGCUCUCUCCGGGGAGUGUUA
RNAcentral lists this non-coding RNA (481 nucleotides) under Fusarium solani. RNAcentral describes it as "sequence contains ITS2, 28S rRNA gene". It matches the Rfam family "Eukaryotic large subunit ribosomal RNA", at positions 66 to 558 of the family's 3401-position model. The record is from RNAcentral. Lineage: Eukaryota; Fungi; Ascomycota; Sordariomycetes; Hypocreales; Nectriaceae. RNAcentral also lists the same sequence under 3 other names.